Long non-coding RNA from Ictidomys tridecemlineatus (thirteen-lined ground squirrel), 942 nucleotides. RefSeq lists it as uncharacterized. The record is from RefSeq and is a predicted model, not a curated record. NCBI's taxonomy places the organism in Eukaryota, Metazoa, Chordata, Mammalia, Rodentia, Sciuridae.
UGGUUUCUACUGGGCCCAAAUGGAAACGCAUACAACAAUUAGGUUGGGUUCUUAGGCUCAAGGCCGGGGGAGGUAAGUUUUCCCAAUAUUAAUUACAAUCACAUAGAGGUGAGUAAAUCUUCAAGCUGGCUUUUCUCCUACUUCCACGGUUCUAAGGCAUCUCCAACUUUCUCCCCUUCCUCCCUCACAUAAAAACCACAUUUUAACAAUGUAAGAUCACGGAGGCGAGGUUCAUUUCCUUACUCAUGUUGUUUAACCCAAGCAACCUCUAGCCGGUGGGUUGAAACUCCACUGGCCUUUUGUGGCAGUGCCCUUUGUACCCCGCACCCCACUUUCUUUGCCUAAUUAGUUUAAGUGGACGCUGGUUCUGGUCUCUUGUCCCCACACGGCCACAUCAGCCAGGCCUCACGAAUUUGUUUUCCAGAAAUUUCUGAGCUGCCCUCUUUUAGCUCGGGCCUGAUCUCCUCUUACUCUGGGCUAGGGAGUAUCUUCCCCUCCCAGCCCCGUUCCCUAAGCCAGUCACUCAGGGCUUUUACCUGAAGUAAAAGCUCUUCCUACGCUUUUCUCCCCUGGGGAAAGUUCCCGCCCACUCAGAACGUGACUUCAGGCGCUGAACUCAGCGCUUCCAUUGGCCAAGCCAGGCCCCGCCCCUGAUGCAGCCCACCCCUCGACUUCCGGCGGAGGCCCACAGGCUAGGGGGCUCACAGGAUAUUGGAACCCUACGUGUACGGUCCGGUUGUCACCAACGUCCUCUCUUAGGUGAAUGUUUCAAGCAUCAAGAUAGAGGAAAAGAUGAAAAAGAGGAGAGACUAAAAGCUAUAAUGUGAAGAACUUUGCUCUACCACAUGCUCCCCGCAAUGAUGUUUUAGAUGUUUAUGAACCUCACUAUAUGUCCCAAAGCAACUGGGCUAACCAAUGGAUUGAAACCUCCAAAACUGUGGG